Non-coding RNA from Pelobates cultripes (western spadefoot toad), 371 nucleotides. NCBI's taxonomy places the organism in Eukaryota, Metazoa, Chordata, Amphibia, Anura, Pelobatidae. The record is from the annotation of a GenBank genome assembly.
UUUUUUUUUUUUGCGUGCUGCAAACCCACAAUAGGUUUACCAUAUGCAUAAUCGCAGGUAUUAACAGAUUUCAACAAUGAUUAUACAAUACAUGUGUCAGAGCUUAGCACAAAUUUUUCUUUUAGUUAUAACAAGCAGAUAAUCCUAGGUGGUGAGUAAGGUCUAGAAUAUGUGCAGCUAACGUAUGAGAUUGUGGUUUUGUUACCUGGGUCGUGUUGCAGCGUUCUGGCCCGGUGUGAGUGUUAUCAUCGGGCUGGUCGUGGUUCUGGUUCCUUGCUUAGGUCAGUAUGGGUUUGGUAGAGGUUGCAAUGCUGGUUGUGGAGUCCUGUGAGUAAGUCUUCAGUAUGCUCUACCUCUCGGUAGAGGUGUAG